UUCAUGGAGAGUUUGAUCCUGGCUCAGGACGAACGCUGGCGGCGUGCCUAAUACAUGCAAGUCGAGCGGAUCGACGGGAGCUUGCUCCCUUAGGUCAGCGGCGGACGGGUGAGUAACACGUGGGUAACCUGCCUGUAAGACUGGGAUAACUCCGGGAAACCGGGGCUAAUACCGGAUGCUUGAUUGAACCGCAUGGUUCAAUUAUAAAAGGUGGCUUUUAGCUACCACUUACAGA
RNAcentral lists this ribosomal RNA (235 nucleotides) under Bacillus haynesii. Its description in RNAcentral is "partial 16S ribosomal RNA". It matches the Rfam family "Bacterial small subunit ribosomal RNA", at positions 1 to 225 of the family's 1533-position model. Lineage: Bacteria; Bacillati; Bacillota; Bacilli; Caryophanales; Bacillaceae. The record is from RNAcentral.